GAUGAACGCUAGCGGGAGGCUUAACACAUGCAAGUCGAGGGGUAUUGUAGCAAUACAUUAGACCGGCGCACGGGUGAGUGACGCGUAUGCAACCUGCCGUUAACCGGGGGAUAGCCCGUCGAAAGGCGGAUUAAUACCCCAUAAUAUUGGGAUUCUGCAUGGGAUUUCAAUUAAAGCUGAGGUGGUUAAAGAUGGGCAUGCGUGACAUUAGCUAGUUGGUAGGGUAACGGCCUACCAAGGCUACGAUGUCUAGGGGUUCUGAGAGGAAGGUCCCCCACACUGGUACUGAGACACGGACCAGACUCCUACGGGAGGCAGCAGUGAGGAAUAUUGGUCAAUGGGCGAGAGCCUGAACCAGCCAUCCCGCGUGCAGGAAGACGGCCCUAUGGGUUGUAAACUGCUUUUGCGCAUGAAGAAUGUUACCGACGUGUCGGUAAGUGACGGUAAUGCGUGAAUAAGCAUCGGCUAACUCCGUGCCAGCAGCCGCCGUAA
Molecule: ribosomal RNA, 492 nt
Filed under: uncultured bacterium
Lineage: Bacteria
Description: partial 16S ribosomal RNA
Rfam family: Bacterial small subunit ribosomal RNA
Source: RNAcentral